AGUCGCGCGGAGCCCGGCUUCCGACGUGCAGCCUGGCAGUGCAGUGAGCUGUCUGGCCUUUUGUCCUUGAUCCUUGGUUAAGGAAAUGACCAACCAGUACGGUAUUCUCUUCAAACAAGAGCAAGCCCAUGAUGAUGCCAUUUGGUCAGUUGCUUGGGGGACAAACAAGAAGGAAAACUCUGAGACAGUGGUCACAGGCUCCCUAGAUGACCUGGUGAAGGUCUGGAAAUGACCAUUGGUAUUGCAUAGUCACAGGGACCCAGAAUUUCAGAUGCCAGGUAAAGUGUGUUCUGUGUGAAGAAAUCCAUUUCUCUGUCCCCUGUUGAAGGCGUGAUGAGAGGCUGGACCUACAGUGGAGUCUGGAGGGACAUCAGCUGGGAGUGGUGUCUGUGGACAUCAGCCACACCCUGCCCAUUGCUGCAUCCAGCUCUCUUGAUGCUCAUAUUCGUCUUUGGGACUUGGAAAAUGGCAAACAGAUAAAGUCCAUAGAUGCAGGACCUGGUAAGAGUUUUACUUGUAGGGGAGAUAAUAGAGGUUCAUGAUUUCUUUUCCAAAAUCUUUAGGGAUAGAAUGUGUUUUACAACUCGGAAUUUUUUGGAUUUGAGAGGGGUGAUAAUGUGUGCAUGAACUGUAUUUCACAUAAUACCCUCAGUGGGGCUGGAAACAGCACUGUAAUGAAACACUAAUACCUCUGCAACUAAACAUGAAUGUUUACACUAAGGGAGAUAAAUAAAGGCUAUAAAUAGCCUUAUGUCAAUUCAGGUUAGAUUUUGCUGCCAAAUGAAUUUUGGUAGUAAACCUGUAGAAAAAGCCUGUAGUUUCCAGAGCUUUUUGGAUUUCAAACUGCUGGUUUGGCGUUGUUGACCUGUAUUUUGUAUUUUCCAGAGGUUCUUUAUUUGCCAUAUUCUGAACUGAUUCAUUCACUGCCUUACGGAAACCUAGAAUGUAAAGCAUGGGGUCCUUAUAGAUCUGUAUCAUGGUCAUCUCUACUAAUUUUGAUUAAAGGGUGGGAUUCUUGGUAUGUGAUACAUGUGAAACUUUUAAGAAACAUCAAUUUUUUUUUUGUUUUAAGUACUGUAGAACAGCAUAAUCUUGUCCAUCAGCCUCGGUAAACAUCAUCUGAGAUGACAGAAAUUAAUGAUGUCAUAGGCUGACUAAUGUGGAGCAGCAGAGGACAUUUCAGGAUUCUUUUGAACUUCACAUUUACUUAUAAAUGGCUGCACAACAUUCCCCAGCAGAACCUGCUCUGCCAGAAUGGGUGGUAACCGCUAGAGGGUGCAGAUAGCCUGGCAUUUCUCUGGCACACCCCUUUGUGGGUUGAUGAUAGAAGAGCUGCUUAGGUGUUCCAUGAACACAGUU
Molecule: small RNA, 1359 nt
Filed under: Pan troglodytes (chimpanzee)
Lineage: Eukaryota; Metazoa; Chordata; Mammalia; Primates; Hominidae
Description: retained intron
Source: RNAcentral